GACGGAGGAUGCAAGCGUUAUCCGGAAUGAUUGGGCGUAAAGCGUCCGCAGGCGGCAGUUCAAGUCUGCUGUCAAAGACCGGGGCUUAACUUCGGAAAGGCAGUGGAAACUGAACAGCUAGAGUAUGGUAGGGGCAGAGGGAAUUCCUGGUGUAGCGGUGAAAUGCGUAGAUAUCAGGAAGAACAUCGGUGGCGAAGGCGCUCUGCUGGACCAUAACUGACACUCAGGGACGAAAGCUAGGGGAGCGAAUGGG
RNAcentral lists this ribosomal RNA (253 nucleotides) under uncultured bacterium. Its description in RNAcentral is "partial 16S ribosomal RNA". It matches the Rfam family "Bacterial small subunit ribosomal RNA", at positions 524 to 776 of the family's 1533-position model. The record is from RNAcentral.